This 492-nucleotide ribosomal RNA is filed under the name uncultured bacterium. Its description in RNAcentral is "partial 16S ribosomal RNA". It matches the Rfam family "Bacterial small subunit ribosomal RNA", at positions 29 to 507 of the family's 1533-position model. The record is from RNAcentral.
AGUGAACGCUGGCGGUAGGCCUAACACAUGCAAGUCGAACGGCAGCACAGUAAGAGCUUGCUCUUACGGGUGGCGAGUGGCGGACGGGUGAGGAAUACAUCGGAAUCUACUUUUUCGUGGGGGAUAACGUAGGGAAACUUACGCUAAUACCGCAUACGACCUACGGGUGAAAGCAGGGGAUCUUCGGACCUUGCGCGAUUGAAUGAGCCGAUGUCGGAUUAGCUAGUUGGCGGGAUAAGGGCCCACCAAGGCGACGAUCCGUAGCUGGUCUGAGAGGAUGAUCAGCCACACUGGAACUGAGACACGGUCCAGACUCCUACGGGAGGCAGCAGUGGGGAAUAUUGGACAAUGGGCGCAAGCCUGAUCCAGCCAUACCGCGUGGGUGAAGAAGGCCUUCGGGUUGUAAAGCCCUUUUGUUGGGAAAGAAAAGCAGCAGGUUAAUACCCCGCUGUUCUGACGGUACCCAAAGAAUAAGCACCGGCUAACUUCGUG